RNAcentral lists this unclassified non-coding RNA (1591 nucleotides) under Hevea brasiliensis (rubber tree). The record is from RNAcentral. Lineage: Eukaryota; Viridiplantae; Streptophyta; Magnoliopsida; Malpighiales; Euphorbiaceae.
AUCGGAUAUGCAAUCCACCUAGGACUGGAAUACAUUGAGCAACAAUUAAAAGACAUUUAGAAAAAGAAUUCUGGGUAGCAUUCUUGCUACUAUAUUUUUGGAAAGUAACAGAACAAAACUGCGAAAAUUUAGUUAAAAUAAAAUUCUCGAGCAUUUACAGAUUGCCACCUGAAUAUUGAAAAUUCCCACCCACGACUUCUACCUUCUAUACCAAAAUGCUUGAAGAAAUUACUUUUACAGAGCUGGUCUACCAUGUAAGAUCAACUCUCCAGAUAUAGGUAGAAGAAAAUAUUUACAGUAAUCAGAAAAGAACUAUGCCCGACAAAUAUAGUCAUUUGAUUUGCGGAAUUUACUAAUCAAGUUCCAGUACCACUUUACCAGGAAUUAACUUUUUGGCUUUUGCCUCAUGAGCCUCUCUCACUUGUGUGAAGGGAAAUGUUUUCUCAACAGGUAUCUUCAGCCUCCCAGCUUCAAAUAAACGCCGGAUCUCAUCUAAACCAUCUGGAUCAGCUCUCAUGUAAGUCCACCAAUAUUCUAUUCCAUGAGAGUAUCGAUAUUGAAUCUGUUUCUUCAGUAAAAUAGCUGUAGCAACAGGAAGUCCAACUGCUAGUCCAUACCUAUCAGUCAAGGAUGCUGCCUCACCCUGAAGGGUCAUAUAGUGUCCACCCCUCUUCAGAAAAUUGAUGCCAAUUCUUUCUGUUUCUGGUACACCAAUAGUGUCCAAAACAGCAUCAAACUUCCCCUUUAUUGCUAGUUCAAUGUCCUCAGCAAUGUAGUCAACAGCCUGCUCAGCACCAGCUUUCAGUACUCCUUCUAUGCUUUGACUUCCACAAGUAGUUGUAACAUGGCACCCUGCAGCUACUGCAAGCUGAAUUGCAGUAAAGCCUACCGCUCCACCACCACCCACUACUAACAGUCGUUGCCCCUCAGUAAUCCUAGCCGUACUUUUUAGAGCACGCCAUGCAGUUAGUGCAGCAAAAGGAAUAGCACUUGCUUCCACGUGUGUAACUGAUAUUGGCUUUGGGGUAAGUUCAUCUUCUGAAAGAACUGCAUAGUCAGUAUAAGUACCUCUCACAGCAGUUGGAUGCAAUGCACCAAAAACUUCUUGCCCAACACUCAGUGACUGAACUGAAGUUCCAACAGCUGUAACUUCACCACUAAUAUCACGACCCAAAAUGAGAGGUAGCAGAGGUUCAAAUAUGGAUCGACCAUAACCUGAUCGCAUUCUAGUAUCAAGAGGAUUGAUAGAGACAGCACGAGCUCGAACAAGGACUUGAUUGGGCUUGAGCUGGGGGACCUCAACAUCGGACCGGAGUUCCAGCACUUCAGGCCCGCCGAAGCGGGGCAACAGCACCGCCCGGCAAGUGGUGGCGAAAAACCUAAAAAAGCUUAACUGGAAUAAUUGGCAAUCACAAUUGACAGCAGCGUUUUUGAAGGUGUGAAGUUUGAAGAAUUGCAUUGUUGUUUUGUUAGUGUGGAGAACUGAGAGAAAGGACUAAGAAGUGUUAGGUUAGGGUUUUUGAAUGAAUAAAUGGAGAGCGGAGCCGGAGAGCAACGGAUGGGUGGAACGUCCACGCGUCCCUGCUACUAU